RNAcentral lists this unclassified non-coding RNA (253 nucleotides) under Gammaproteobacteria bacterium. RNAcentral's name for it is "partial 16S ribosomal RNA". It matches the Rfam family "Bacterial small subunit ribosomal RNA", at positions 524 to 776 of the family's 1533-position model. RNAcentral also lists the same sequence under 1 other name. The record is from RNAcentral. Lineage: Bacteria; Pseudomonadati; Pseudomonadota; Gammaproteobacteria.
UACGGAGGGUGCGAGCGUUAAUCGGAAUUACUGGGCGUAAAGCGCACGUAGGCGGUUUGUUAAGCAGGAUGUGAAAUCCCCGGGCUCAACCUGGGAACUGCAUCCUGAACUGGCAGGCUAGAGUGCAGUAGAGGGUAGUGGAAUUCCUGGUGUAGCAGUGAAAUGCGUAGAUAUCAGGAGGAACACCGGUGGCGAAGGCGGCUACCUGGACUGACACUGACGCUGAGGUGCGAAAGCGUGGGGAGCAAACAGG